GAUGAAGAACGCAGCGAAAUGCGAUAAGUAAUGUGAAUUGCAGAAUUCAGUGAAUCAUCGAAUCUUUGAACGCACAUUGCGCCCGCCAGCAUUCUGGCGGGCAUGCCUGUUCGAGCGUCAUUUCAACCCUCGAGCCCCCCCGGGGGCCUCGGUGUUGGGGGACGGCACACCAGCCCCCCGAAAUGCAGUGGCGACCCCGCCGCAGCCUCCCCUGCGUAGUAGCACACACCUCGCACCGGAGCGCGGAGGCGGUCACGCCGUAAAACGCCCAACUUUCUUAGAGUUGACCUCGGAUCAGGUAGGAAUACCCGCUGAACUUAAGCAUAUCAAUAAGCGGAGGA
RNAcentral lists this unclassified non-coding RNA (341 nucleotides) under soil metagenome. RNAcentral describes it as "partial contains 5.8S ribosomal RNA, internal transcribed spacer 2, and large subunit ribosomal RNA". The stretch from base 1 to 120 matches the Rfam family "5.8S ribosomal RNA", at positions 35 to 154 of the family's 154-position model. The record is from RNAcentral.